CACCUAAUUAAAAUGCUUUCAUUUAGCGAGACACAAUUUUGUUGAACCAACUUAUUGUAAGUAUGUUGAGUGAACAUAAAGUAUUGGAGUUACUAUUACUUAUUUGUAACGUAUGGGUCCAACUUAACUUUGUAAAAGUUGUUUCAACAUAUUUACUAAGGAAGGAUUUGACUUAAUUCACUUGAAUGACAUCA
This is a long non-coding RNA of Sphaeramia orbicularis (orbiculate cardinalfish), 194 nucleotides long. RefSeq lists it as uncharacterized. The record is from RefSeq and is a predicted model, not a curated record. Lineage: Eukaryota; Metazoa; Chordata; Actinopteri; Kurtiformes; Apogonidae. The transcript is spliced from 3 exons.